Long non-coding RNA from Pteronotus mesoamericanus, 188 nucleotides. RefSeq lists it as uncharacterized. The record is from RefSeq and is a predicted model, not a curated record. Lineage: Eukaryota; Metazoa; Chordata; Mammalia; Chiroptera; Mormoopidae. The transcript is spliced from 3 exons.
GACUCUCGAACCACCCAGCUGGCCUCGGAGAGAUUCCAUAUUGUGGAUUCUGGCUCCGUUAUCAUGAAUGACACUUUGACAUCAGAUGUCGUUGGUCAAAGAGUUGAAGUCAAUGGAGAACGUGCCACGGUUCUUUUCUAUGGCCCUGUCCCUCCUGUGGCAGGACUCUGGUUAGGAGUAGAAUGGGA